GAUGAACGCUGGCGGCGUGCCUAAUACAUGCAAGUCGAGCGAACGGACGAGAAGCUUGCUUCUCUGAUGUUAGCGGCGGACGGGUGAGUAACACGUGGAUAACCUACCUAUAAGACUGGGAUAACUUCGGGAAACCGGAGCUAAUACCGGAUGAUAUUUUGAACCGCAUGGUUCAAAAGUGAAAGACGGUCUUGCUGUCACUUAUAGAUGGAUCCGCGCUGCAUUAGCUAGUUGGUAAGGUAACGGCUUACCAAGGCAACGAUGCAUAGCCGACCUGAGAGGGUGAUCGGCCACACUGGAACUGAGACACGGUACAGACUCCUACGGGAGGCAGCAGUAGGGAAUCUUGCGCAAUGGGCGAAAGCCUGACGGAGCAACGCCGCGUGAGUGAUGAAGGUCUUCGGAUCGUAAAACUCUGUUAUUAGGGAAGAACAUAUGUGUAAGUAACUGUGCACAUCUUGACGGUACCUAAUCAGAAAGCCACGGCUAACUACGU
RNAcentral lists this ribosomal RNA (496 nucleotides) under uncultured bacterium. Its description in RNAcentral is "partial 16S ribosomal RNA". It matches the Rfam family "Bacterial small subunit ribosomal RNA", at positions 28 to 506 of the family's 1533-position model. The record is from RNAcentral.